Molecule: small nuclear RNA, 103 nt
Organism: Cavia aperea (Brazilian guinea pig)
Lineage: Eukaryota; Metazoa; Chordata; Mammalia; Rodentia; Caviidae
Source: Ensembl
UUGCUUCAGCAGUACAUAUACUAAAAUUGGAAGGAUACAGAGAGGAUUAGCAUGGCUCCUUCACAAGGAUGACAUGCAAAUUUGUGAAGCAUUCCAUAUUUUA